Molecule: transfer RNA, 67 nt
Filed under: Sinomiopteryx guangxiensis
Lineage: Eukaryota; Metazoa; Arthropoda; Insecta; Mantodea; Thespidae
Description: tRNA-Trp
Source: RNAcentral
AAGAUUUUAAGUUAAAUAAACUAAUAUCCUUCAAAGCUAUAAAUAAAGAUUAUAUCUUUAAGUCUUA